This 137-nucleotide non-coding RNA is filed under the name Pseudomonas putida W619. RNAcentral's name for it is "radC RNA". It matches the Rfam family "radC RNA". Lineage: Bacteria; Pseudomonadati; Pseudomonadota; Gammaproteobacteria; Pseudomonadales; Pseudomonadaceae. The record is from RNAcentral.
CGGGAGUCGCAAGAGCUGUCGAUGACAGCACCCCAGGUGACCCGAACCUUGGAGGUCACGCCGCUCCCGCGGUGGUUCACCCGCAAGUACGAUUCGCGUCCGGCAGCUCGUACGGUCACUACCCAUGUGAUGGAUGC